UACGUAGGGGGCAAGCGUUAUCCGGAUUUACUGGGUGUAAAGGGGGCGCAGACGGCGAUGCAAGCCAGGAGUGAAAGCCCGGGGCCCAACCCCGGGACUGCUCUUGGAACUGCGUGGCUGGAGUGCAGGAGGGGCAGGCGGAAUUCCUGGUGUAGCGGUGAAAUGCGUAGAUAUCAGGAGGAACACCGGUGGCGAAGGCGGCCUGCUGGACUGCAACUGACGUUGAGGCCCGAAAUCGUGGGGAGCAAACAGG
Molecule: ribosomal RNA, 253 nt
Filed under: uncultured bacterium
Lineage: Bacteria
Description: partial 16S ribosomal RNA
Rfam family: Bacterial small subunit ribosomal RNA
Source: RNAcentral